RNAcentral lists this unclassified non-coding RNA (459 nucleotides) under Bifidobacterium pseudocatenulatum DSM 20438 = JCM 1200 = LMG 10505. RNAcentral's name for it is "partial 16S-23S ribosomal RNA". The record is from RNAcentral. Lineage: Bacteria; Bacillati; Actinomycetota; Actinomycetes; Bifidobacteriales; Bifidobacteriaceae.
CCUUUCUACGGAGUUUUUUCAGGACGCCGGUCUGGCGUCCGUCGUGUGGCCCAUGCGCCGGGGAUGGUUCCCGGGUUCGUGUGGGCGUGCUGGUGUGGAAGAGAUCGUUGGCUUCGCGGGUCCUUGGGGCCGGCGGGGAGUGGUGCGGAUAUGCUUUUGGGUUCCCGGACCGCCACCCGCAUCCGUUUUGGGUGCGUGCGGUUUUCCGGAUGCCCCUGGUGGGACGCCGUCGGCCUUGCGGGCCGCGGGUCGGGUCCGGUCGGGGCGCGUGGUGGUUUGAGAACUGGAUAGUGGACGCGAGCAAUGCGAUGAUGUGAUGUCAUCGUUUGCUUUAUCGCGAUUUCGCCAGGCUUCUUUUUGGAGUCUGGUUUCGAGAUCGAUCGUUUUGUGAUCAUUUUUUUACAGUGUGAUGAUUUGUCGUCUGGCGUUUGAAGCUAUCAUUGGGUUUUUCGGGGCGUG